This 117-nucleotide ribosomal RNA is filed under the name Danio rerio (zebrafish). Lineage: Eukaryota; Metazoa; Chordata; Actinopteri; Cypriniformes; Danionidae. The record is from RNAcentral.
UGGCCUGCAGCUAGCUCUCUGCAACUCUCACAUGGUCGCUCACUGAAGCUAAGCAGGGCUGCUCCCAGUCAGUACCUGGAUGGGAGACCACAUGGGAAAGCUACACUCAUUGGCCAC